UACGAAGGGGGCUAGCGUUGCUCGGAAUUACUGGGCGUAAAGGGAGCGUAGGCGGAUCGUUAAGUUGGGGGUGAAAGCCCGGGGCUCAACCUCGGAACUGCCUUCAAUACUGGCGAUCUUGAGUAUGGGAGAGGUGAGUGGAACUCCGAGUGUAGAGGUGAAAUUCGUAGAUAUUCGGGAGAACACCAGUGGCGAAGGCGACUCACUGGCCCAUUACUGACGCUGAGGCUCGAAAGCGUGGGGAG
RNAcentral lists this ribosomal RNA (245 nucleotides) under uncultured Phenylobacterium sp. RNAcentral's name for it is "partial 16S ribosomal RNA". It matches the Rfam family "Bacterial small subunit ribosomal RNA", at positions 524 to 768 of the family's 1533-position model. Lineage: Bacteria; Pseudomonadati; Pseudomonadota; Alphaproteobacteria; Caulobacterales; Caulobacteraceae. The record is from RNAcentral.